UCUUUUUGUACCCCAUUUUCAAGAAAUGAGGCAUUUGGCGCAUCUUUUCUGCUACCGCCGGGAACGAGCUCAAGGAAGAGAGGAAAUUCUGCUUCGCAUGCAUCCAGGAUGCCCCUGGGGGGAGGGUGUGAUGUCCUGGACUGAGAAAACAAAACGAUGGCUGGGACAGCAGUGCUUGGGCAGAAUUUGAGAGCUUUGGAUGCGCACACAGUGGCUAUCAUCCCUGGACACAUUGAUGAAAGGAAAGUGUUAGGUCUUUCUUUCUUGACUUCUCGACUCACUGACCAAACUUUUUGUGACGAGGUUUGAAGUUCUGGAGAGCAAGGACGAGCUUGAUCUCAUUGGACAACAACCACCAGAACCGCUGCGGCAGUUUAACCAGCGCUUUCAGUCUUAUAUUCGUAAAUUCGUCCUGUGUGGCGACUUGAUACGGCUGUGCAUCACUUUGCCAAGUUCCAGCCUUCUUGGAUUGGUCCUUAUCAGGUACUUUCUCGUGCUGGCACUAAUUCGUAUUGGCUAGCAGAGUUGACGGGCA
This is a long non-coding RNA of Selaginella moellendorffii, 535 nucleotides long. RefSeq lists it as uncharacterized. The record is from RefSeq and is a predicted model, not a curated record. The transcript is spliced from 2 exons. NCBI's taxonomy places the organism in Eukaryota, Viridiplantae, Streptophyta, Lycopodiopsida, Selaginellales, Selaginellaceae.